GAACUCACCCAAAUAUGGGGACCGCCUGAUUAUCAAAAACAUGGCUCCCUGAGCACAUGGGGGGUCMUGCCUUCCCGGUGAGCUUGCGGGUUUAAACGGACUGGGUAAAGCCGCUUAAGGUAGCUAAAUUAUGGYCUAUCAAUUGUAGGUCCUGUGAAUGGUUUGACGAGUUUCCAGCUGUCUCUAGCGGRACCUGAACUGCUWCCCUUGGAUGUGCSAUGCUUCCCUGCGCUGAAAGAACCCAAGACUCCGAGAAGAAUUGAACGACUUUUCGGMCUGUGUGAAGCCCCUAAWUAGCCCAAUCGKCGAUUCCCCUAGACCUUAGCCCCAAUGUGGGGGUGAUUUAUUGCAUGCUUGUCCUUGKUUUUUUCGGKAUCAAGCUCGAUUCCCUUAUCUCCYACCCGCAUCUGUACGACCCUCUCUUCKAGGGCCUCUUAUCAUAAGACUUCACUACGGCCAUAACAGURUCCUUCCUUUCGUUASUGUUUAUUUAUCUUCAGGAUUUCWACAUCUUUAUUCUCUYUGUAUACCACAUCGUUUGAAUGYSCCCUAUAUGGGUGGUUCYCUCUGCCUCUUAUCUCU
RNAcentral lists this ribosomal RNA (582 nucleotides) under Pecten jacobaeus. RNAcentral's name for it is "partial large subunit ribosomal RNA". The record is from RNAcentral. Lineage: Eukaryota; Metazoa; Mollusca; Bivalvia; Pectinida; Pectinidae.